GGAAUCUUGCGCAAUGGGCGAAAGCCUGACGCAGCGACGCCGCGUGGGGGAUGAAGGCCUUCGGGUUGUAAACCCCUUUCAGGAGGGAAGAAAUUGACGGUACCUCCAAAAGAAGGACCGGCCAACUACGUGCCAGCAGCCGCGGUAAUACGUAGGGUCCUAGCGUUAUCCGGAAUCAUUGGGCGUAAAGAGCUCGUAGGCGGUUCAGCAAGUCGGCUGUGAAAGUCCGAGGCUCAACCUCGGAAUUGCAGUCGAUACUGCUGUGACUCGAAUUCGGUAGAGGGAAUUUCCAGUGUAGCGGUGAAAUGCGUAGAGAUUGGAAAGAACACCAGUGGCGAAGGCGCUCUACUGGACCGUAACUGACACUCAGGGACGAAAGCUAGGGUAGCGAAAGGGAUUAGAUACCCCGGUAGUCC
RNAcentral lists this ribosomal RNA (416 nucleotides) under uncultured prokaryote. Its description in RNAcentral is "bacterial SSU rRNA". It matches the Rfam family "Bacterial small subunit ribosomal RNA", at positions 358 to 796 of the family's 1533-position model. The record is from RNAcentral.